Molecule: ribosomal RNA, 596 nt
Filed under: Mycobacterium sp. Ri3Pw_6300
Lineage: Bacteria; Bacillati; Actinomycetota; Actinomycetes; Mycobacteriales; Mycobacteriaceae
Description: bacterial SSU rRNA
Rfam family: Bacterial small subunit ribosomal RNA
Source: RNAcentral
GACGGCCUUCGGGUUGUAAACCUCUUUCAGCACAGACGAAGCGCAAGUGACGGUAUGUGCAGAAGAAGGACCGGCCAACUACGUGCCAGCAGCCGCGGUAAUACGUAGGGUCCGAGCGUUGUCCGGAAUUACUGGGCGUAAAGAGCUCGUAGGUGGUUUGUCGCGUUGUUCGUGAAAACUCACAGCUCAACUGUGGGCGUGCGGGCGAUACGGGCAGACUAGAGUACUGCAGGGGAGACUGGAAUUCCUGGUGUAGCGGUGGAAUGCGCAGAUAUCAGGAGGAACACCGGUGGCGAAGGCGGGUCUCUGGUCAGUAACUGACGCUCAGGAGCGAAAGCGUGGGGAGCGAACAGGAUUAGAUACCCUGGUAGUCCACGCCGUACACGGUGGGUACUAGGUGUGGGUUUCCUUCCUUGGGAUCCGUGCCGUACCUCCGCAUUAAGUACCCCGCCUGGGGAGUACGGCCGCAAGGCUAAUACUCACAGAAAUUGACGGGGGCCCGCACAAGCGGCGGAGCAUGUGGAUUAAUUCAAUGCAACGCGAAGAACCUUACCUGGGUUUGACAUGCACAGGACGUGCCUAUGAGAUAGGUAUUC